RNAcentral lists this ribosomal RNA (113 nucleotides) under Bacillus velezensis. RNAcentral describes it as "partial 23S ribosomal RNA". It matches the Rfam family "Bacterial large subunit ribosomal RNA", at positions 2815 to 2925 of the family's 2925-position model. Lineage: Bacteria; Bacillati; Bacillota; Bacilli; Caryophanales; Bacillaceae. The record is from RNAcentral.
AUUCCGCAAGGAAGUAAGAUCCCUGAAAGAUGAUCAGGUUGAUAGGUCUGAGGUGGAAGUGUGGCGACACAUGGAGCUGACAGAUACUAAUCGAUCGAGGACUUAACCAAUUU